RNAcentral lists this ribosomal RNA (523 nucleotides) under uncultured Glomus. Its description in RNAcentral is "SSU rRNA". It matches the Rfam family "Eukaryotic small subunit ribosomal RNA", at positions 569 to 1092 of the family's 1831-position model. Lineage: Eukaryota; Fungi; Glomeromycota; Glomeromycetes; Glomerales; Glomeraceae. The record is from RNAcentral.
AGCAGCCGCGGUAAUUCCAGCUCCAAUAGCGUAUAUUAAAGUUGUUGCAGUUAAAAAGCUCGUAGUUGAAUUUCGGGGUCAGUAGGUUGGUCAUGCCACUGGUAUGUACUGAUCUUUACUGAUUCCUCCUUCCUGAUGAACCGUAAUGCCAUUAAUUUGGUGUUGCGGGGAGACUGGACUGUUACUUUGAAAAAAUUAGAGUGUUUAAAGCAGGCUAACGCUUGAAUACAUUAGCAUGGAAUAAUGAAAUAGGACGUUCGAUCCUAUUUUGUUGGUUUCUAGGAUUGACGUAAUGAUUAAUAGGGAUAGUUGGGGGCAUUAGUAUUCAAUUGUCAGAGGUGAAAUUCUUGGAUUUAUUGAAGACUAACUACUGCGAAAGCAUUUGCCAAGGAUGUUUUCAUUAAUCAAGAACGAAAGUUAGGGGAUCGAAGACGAUCAGAUACCGUCGUAGUCUUAACCAUAAACUAUGCCGACUAGGGAUCGGAUGAUGUUAAUUUUAUAAUGACUCAUUCGGCGCCUUACG